AUGCAACGCGAAGAACCUUACCUGGUCUUGACAUCCACGGAAGUUUUCAGAGAUGAGAAUGUGCCUUCGGGAACCGUGAGACAGGUGCUGCAUGGCUGUCGUCAGCUCGUGUUGUGAAAUGUUGGGUUAAGUCCCGCAACGAGCGCAACCCUUAUCCUUUGUUGCCAGCGGUCCGGCCGGGAACUCAAAGGAGACUGCCAGUGAUAAACUGGAGGAAGGUGGGGAUGACGUCAAGUCAUCAUGGCCCUUACGACCAGGGCUACACACGUGCUACAAUGGCGCAUACAAAGAGAAGCGACCUCGCGAGAGCAAGCGGACCUCAUAAAGUGCGUCGUAGUCCGGAUUGGAGUCUGCAACUCGACUCCAUGAAGUCGGAAUCGCUAGUAAUCGUGGAUCAGAAUGCCACGGUGAAUACGUUCCCGGGCCUUGUACACACCGCCCGUCACACCAUGGGAGUGGGUUGCAAAAGAAGUAGGUAGCUUAACCUUCGGGAGGGCGCUUACCACUUUGUGAUUCAUGACUGGGGUGAAGUCGUAACAAGGUAACCGUAGGGGAACCUGCGGUUGGAUCACCUCCUU
RNAcentral lists this ribosomal RNA (578 nucleotides) under Escherichia coli. Its description in RNAcentral is "bacterial SSU rRNA". It matches the Rfam family "Bacterial small subunit ribosomal RNA", at positions 954 to 1532 of the family's 1533-position model. Lineage: Bacteria; Pseudomonadati; Pseudomonadota; Gammaproteobacteria; Enterobacterales; Enterobacteriaceae. The record is from RNAcentral.